GGUAGAGAGGGAGAUGGAGAGAGAAAGAACGAGAAGGGAAGGCAUCCUAAAGACCAUGGAAUGAUGAUGGCUUUAAAAUUUAUGGCAGGCCAUGAAGAACAUAGAGAGUUAGAGAGCAAAAGGGGGAGUGAGAGAGAUUUGCAGUGAGAUGUGGAAAGAUGGAGAGAGAGAAAGAGAUGGCAAUGAGAUGUAGAAAAAUGGAAAGAAUAAGAGAGAGGCAGACAGGCAAAUACAGACAGAGGGAAUGAAGAACACAAUCACAAAUAUUUAAGAAAAAUAAACUCGGGGCAAUUUCAAUAACCCUAAUGUAUGUCCCAUAGAAAUCAUGUUCGGAUUACGUAUUUGUCAUGGUCAUGUUUGAACAUUUUAAAAAGAUGAUGCACAAGGCUAUUGAAAUCGUUUUAAGAUGAUUUUUUAAGAAGCAGUCACUAUCAUGGUGAAGCUAGAAAUUCAGACGGGGAGAGAGAAAGAGAUACAUGUAUAAACAAAGUGAGAUAAGAAUAUACACAAACUGUCAGGUUGAAGUGAACAUCAAAGACACACCAGACAGUUGUGUAUUUUCCAUGUCAUCUGAAGAUGUCUUGAAUGUAUGAAAUGCUUGCAAGUUACUAAUGUUCUGUUACUUUUUUUAAUGGUUUUGUUCAUUUGACAUCGAUAGGGAUAUGUGAGAUUUUUUGAGAACUUUCUACUGGUAAGUGUGGUCUUUUGUCAUUGGGAUAUGUAUAUUUGUCUCAAUCAUAGAGAAGUAGGAAUAAACUUUGAGAGGUACAAUUAUACAACAGAACUCUGACUGAUGUUUGACAGUCUGCUAUUUAUACCUGAAAAGUAUGAUGGAAGAAAAUGAUGCAUCUUAAAAGUGAGCAUGUGGGUUAGUGAGUGCGUGGGUGAGCUGAUAAAUGAUUAGGUUAUAGAUGAGAGGGUUAAAGUAAGUGGGUUAGUGAGUGGGCAACUGCAAGAUGGUGAGAGAAUGAAUGUGUAAAUGUUUGAACUGUAUUGAAAUCAGUACCUACCUCCAUCGUUCAUUCUUCAUAUUAUGGAAAUAAGUUACAUGGACAAUUAAUAAGAUUAUUUGAGAAAAUGAUAUGACAGUCAUUGAUCAUUAAACACAGUUAUCAUUUAGCAAUACAA
This is a long non-coding RNA of Strongylocentrotus purpuratus (purple sea urchin), 1128 nucleotides long. RefSeq lists it as uncharacterized. The transcript is spliced from 2 exons. NCBI's taxonomy places the organism in Eukaryota, Metazoa, Echinodermata, Echinoidea, Camarodonta, Strongylocentrotidae. The record is from RefSeq and is a predicted model, not a curated record.